GGCUCAUUAGUUUAGUCGGAAGAAUACUAGACCCUCACUCUAGAGACGUGGGUUCGAAUCCCGCAUGGGCUA
RNAcentral lists this transfer RNA (72 nucleotides) under Marinobacter sp. RNAcentral describes it as "tRNA-Glu". It matches the Rfam family "tRNA". From Rfam's summary of the family: Transfer RNA (tRNA) molecules are approximately 80 nucleotides in length. Their secondary structure includes four short double-helical elements and three loops (D, anti-codon, and T loops). Lineage: Bacteria; Pseudomonadati; Pseudomonadota; Gammaproteobacteria; Pseudomonadales; Marinobacteraceae. The record is from RNAcentral.